AUCAGAAGCAAGUGUGAACUGGUAUUUGUGAGGUUUUCCAACUAGAAACAGAGGCCAAGGUGGGUAAGUAGUAGGGGGGCCUGAUGAGAGACACGCCAGGGAAAAUGGCAGAUACAGCAUGGAGCUGUCCUAUCAAGGUGACAGAGAAGCCCCGAAAGAGGAGUCAGAAGGAGGUGCAAGACCAGAGCAGCAUCCCUCAUGUAGGUGGGGCAGCAGAGGGUUCCACAAGAUCUGGGUUCAACCAAGAGUUUAACAGCCUUUCUGCAGGGAGUGGGGCUGGAGGUGAUUUUCUGAACCAGAGUCUAUCAAAGUCUAUCAAAGCUAAAGAACCUCGUGUUCUCAUAUUCUUGCAAUUAAAUGGGCCCUUGACUGAUAAUGGCUAAUGGACUCUGAGUGGAAGUGAUGUAUGUCAUUUUUGGCCCAAGUGUUUAAAAGUGAAGGUAAGUCCCCCUAUUUAUUCCCUUGCAGAGAGAACUCAAGUGUCAUGUGUUAGGAUGAUAGUGAGCCCAGAAGCCAUCUGCUAGGAUGGUGAUGUCACAACGUGAGGGCUUGCUCCUCUGCCAGCCUAGGUCUCUGAAUGACUAGGUGUAACUGACCUGCAUUAGCUGUGUGCCAUAACACUUUUGUAGUAUUAAAUCCUUGAGAUUUGGGGGAUCUAAUGGGCACCCUGACUACUAUAGCUGACAUCCUGGUAUGUACUCUUUUCUCUAACUGGAUUUUGUAUUUUUCCUACAACUUAAACCUCCAUGCCUGUGUUUGUUAUUUAUAAAACUAAGGUACUCUGUGG
RNAcentral lists this long non-coding RNA (787 nucleotides) under Heterocephalus glaber (naked mole-rat). RNAcentral's name for it is "lncRNA (ENSHGLG00000037124.1)". The record is from RNAcentral. Lineage: Eukaryota; Metazoa; Chordata; Mammalia; Rodentia; Bathyergidae.